Molecule: long non-coding RNA, 5169 nt
Organism: Pan troglodytes (chimpanzee)
Lineage: Eukaryota; Metazoa; Chordata; Mammalia; Primates; Hominidae
Exons: 9
Source: RefSeq, a predicted model, not a curated record
AGGGCAUAUGUACAUAUGAAGGGGAGUUUCUUGAGGAGAGCUGACUCACACGAUUACAAGGUGAAGUCCCAUGAUAUGCUGUCUGCAAGCUGAGGAAGAAGGAAGCCAAUAGUGGCUCAGUCAGAGUUCAGAAGCCUCAAAAGCAGGGAAGCUGAUAGUAUAGCCUUCAGUCUGUGGCUGAAGGCCUGAGAGCCCCUGGAAAACCACUGGUGUAAGUCCAAGAGUCCAGAAGCUGAAGAACCUGGAGUCUGAUGACCAAGGGCAGGAAGCAUCCAGCACGGGACAAAGAAGAAAGCCAGAAGACUCAGCAAGCCAGCUCACCUCACUUUCUUCUGCCUGCUUUGUUGUAGCUGAGCUGGCAGCCAAUUGGAUGGUGCACACUCACAUUGAGGAUUGGGAGGCUGCUGUGUAUGGAUAAGAUACCUGCUACAGCCAGCUUGACACCAUGAGAAGGACAAGAGAAUUGCAGAGACACAUAUCCAGGAUUCUGAUCCAGUUGAGGCACUGAAAUAAUCUAGAACCACCUUCAAAUUUCUUAUAAAGAGAGUACUGACGGGGUUUCACCAUGUUGGCCGGGCUGGUCCCAAACUCCUGACCUCAAGUGAUCUGCCUGCCUCGGCCUCUCAAAGUGCUGGGAUUAUAGGCUUGAGCUACUGUGCCCAGCUGAGAGCAAUUUUUAAAAGAUAAGUAUAUGAGUUUUCAUUCUGUUUCAUACUACUGAGCUAUUUUUACCAAAGUAUCAAAAUGUAACAAAUAUCAACUCUCUGAUUUCAUAUCAUUUUACAGAAUUAAGAUAAAAUCUAAUCUCAAUCCAGGGAACAGGAUUAGUAAUUGUAGACUUUGGAUUUUUUUUUUUUUUUUGCUAUAAACAAACAAACUGAUUAUAACAGGCUUUAUCCUUAAUAAAGUUAGUUAGGUCCAAGAGACAUAAAAAUGCGAGAAAGCAAGAAUUUCAGUGGAAGUCAAAUUGUUAUACAACACUCUACUUCUUUGAAUUAUUGGCAUUUAUGUUCUUAGAAGAGUCAUCUCCAUGAUACAGGCGUCAGUGAGAAUGUUAAAAUAUUUUUGAGGCCUAGGGAAAAUGUAUGCCAAUUAAUUAACUUGUUUUUAUCUGUGAUUCUCUCAUAUGUUAAAUUUAAUAAGUUAAAUAAUUACAUAAAGCAAGCUUCUCAAAAAUAGAAGCCUCCUUUUUAAAGAAGGGAAAUAAAAAUACUGAACUUAGGUUAAAGUUAACUUAGCAUCUAAAUAAAGCACAAAAAUUUAAUCAUAUAAAACAUUAGCAUUAUUGUACCAAGGAUGUGGUGGCAGAGAAUAUUUUAAAAUAGAUUUUAAUACACUUGGGUGGGACUUCUGCUGUUAAUUUGCUGUAUGACUCUAGGUAGCUCACAUAAACUCUCUGGUUUCCCUCUCCACAAAAUGAGGAGUUUUAGCUAUUUAAAGUUAAAGAACAUCUUCACAAUAUAAAUAUUUUAUUUUUUUAUUUUAUCACAGGGAAAAUUUAAAAUCAGGCAUCAAUAUGAAUAUGCAGAGUGGUUUUAUGAGCUGUCUUUUAAAAUGGAAUAGGGCAAAAAUCAAAUAUAUUAGGCUUGUUGAUGUUUCUCAGAUUUCCUGUCAUUUUAACAGACUAACUGGUCACUCAUCAAGAUGAAAAUCAAAUUAAUAGAAAACUAUUAUUCUUUAGAAAAAUGUGUUUGAAAAGCUUUGUAUCAUUUUAAUGGGUCUCAAAUUAACCCACCUAUUCUGUCAAGGAUAUGAGAUAGCUCCAUGACUAAUAUUUUAUUCUUUGUGAAUAUUUCCUUCCCAAGUUCUACCACAGUUAAUAUCUAAUGUCUAAAAUUUUUUCAAACAUUGCCUUGCAAUCCUUCUUAAAUAAUUUCACUGAAAACGUGUGCCUUAUUUAUCUGUAUCAGAAUUAAAUCACCGUGAUUACAAAUUCCUUAAUAGCAAAGGUCAAAAGAGAAGUUAAAAUAUUUUCCUUGUAUUUUUAAAACUCAGAAGUUAACAUAUUGCCCUUGUAUUAUUAAAACUCAAAAGAGAACUUAAAAUAUUGUCCUUGUAUUAUUAAAACUCAUAAUCCUUCAUAAGGACUAUGAAUAUAUGAAAAUACAAAAAUAUUCAGUAGGAAAAUACAAAAAUAUUCAGUAGUAGCUACUUUAUUCAAUAAAUCAGUCAGUCCAUUGUCAACCAAUAUUUAGAGUGUCUACCAUGGGCGGGGCACUGAUCUACAUACCUGGGACACAAGGAGGAUUACUGUGCUUGAGGAUAUUAUUUUCUAGUAGAAGGAGACAAGCAAUAAAUAGCUAACAGAAUUUAUGGGUGUAUUACAUAGCAUGUUAAGAUGAUUAGAAAAAAGAAAGUGCACAGCAAACAGUGUGUUCGGGAGUGCUGGGGGACAGAAUGAGGAAGUCCAUUGCAGAUUUAAAUGGGGUGGUCAAGGAGGGCUUCAUUGAGGAGACAUCUGAGCAAACAUUUCAGAGGUCAGAGAACUAGUCAUGAGGGCAUCGCAGGGAGAUGCAUGCCCAGUGGGGAGAGCAGUUCUUGCAAUGGCCCUAUAGCAGGAGUGCCUAGUUUGUUGGAGGAACAGCAAGAGGGACAUUGGGGCUGGAGCAGAGCAAAGCAAGGUGGAGAGUUGUAUGAGAAAGGGCCAGAGAGAGAACAGGGAGUGACAGUUUUGCAGUCUACCGUAAAGACCUUGGUGUUUAUUCCGAGUUAAAUAUGGAGCCUUUGAAAAAUUUUGAGCAGAGAGUGAAUAAGAUUCGACUUAUAUUUGAAAGGGAUCACUCUGUUGGUCAUAUUCAUAAUAGACUGAAUGGGAAGGCACGAGCAGAACCAGGGAGAGCAGUUAGAAGGCAAUUGCAAUAAUUCAGGGACAAGGUGAUGGUGGCUUAGACCAUUAUGGUGGCAUAGAAGUGGUGAGAAAUAGUCAGAUUUUAAACAUGCUUUGAAAGUAGAACCGAAGGAUGGUUGUGUUUGCUUCCUGGGAAGGGUUGAGCUUAUAACAAGCGUCUUGGUUGUGAAUUGAAUUCUGUUGAUGUAGUUGAAAUUCUGAGUGCUUGAGCCUCCUCACCUUUUCCAAUGAUGAAGAGAGAAUGCCUAGGGUAGCCAUCUUAGCUCAGUGUGGGCUCAUGUUUGACCCUCAUUAAGGAUGGGAAGAAUUUGUUCCAAAUAUGUGGGCUUCAUUUUGCAUCCUGUUGAUGGAUGUUCUUUAUCAUAAUAAGAAAUGUGUAUUUCAUGAAAUCAAAAGUUCCUUUGGUGAAGGAAGUCUGUUAUAGUCUUCAAAAACAUAAUUAUCAAAAUGGUUUGUUUACUAUAACGUUUAGAGUCAGUGUAAAAGAUCAAUGAAUGAAGUGGCUUCUAGAGACGGACAUGCCAGUUGCAAAUUUCCGUGCUGCUACGUAACUAGUUUAUCUUAUUUACUUUAUUAACCCUAUCUUAUAGCAUUGUCAGCAAUAAAGAAAUUUACAUAUCUGAAUAACUUGGAACUUUCUACAUAAUACUAUGCUAUUAGGAUUUAAUUAAAUGGAUGCCAACAGCAAGUAAACCAUCUCCAAAGAUGCCAUGAAGCUCUCCUAAUUGCAGGAAAAUAUCAGAGGCACUUGAUUUGAGUCUUUCAAGUACAGAAAUAACAAAUUCAGUCUCAACAGACCUAUAGUGAAUGAGAAUGAUUGUCACAUAAUGUGUAGAGAAAAUGGAAGAAUCAAAGGCAAGGCAAACCUGUACAGUGGAGACACAAAAGGUCACUGGCAGAUUUCAAAUGAUCCAAGACAUCCUCAAGACAUUGAGAUCUGCUGAUUGGAGAUCUUAGUGCCCAAGGAAGAAUGCUUGCAAAAGGAGAUGGAACAGUGUUUCUGUUGCAUUGGCCACUGAGAAUAUCUGGUUAUUUUGAAUUUGUCACAGUCUGCAGCUAAAAGGUGAACAGGAAAAGAAGAGGAAGCGGCACAUGAGACUAGCAGGAGUAAAUGUUUUAUACACUGGGCCUCGCAAAAAUUCUGCAAUCACUGGGAAUCAGUAACCUGGUGAAUGAGAAAACAACGUAAUACUGAAAAAUCAAAACACCAUCCUACAGAACUUUGAUGUAUUCAGAACAAAGCAGGAAUUCACUGAAUGUCUAUCUAUCAUGUAUGCUGUUGGAGGCACCUGUCUUUCAGUUCAGAGGUUAUGGAUGUAUCUAUCAUCAGUAUUUCGGGAAGUCAGGGACCCCGAACAGAGGGACUUAAUGAAGCUGUGGCAGAAGAACAAAUUGUGAAGAUUUCAUGGACAUUUAUUAGUUCCCCAAAUUAAUACUUUUAUAAUUUCUUACACCUGUCUUUACUGCACUCUCUGAACAUAAAUUGUGAAGAUUUCAUGGACAGUUAUCACUUCCCCAGUCAACACGCUUAUAAUUUCCUAUGCCUGUCUUUACGUUAAUCUCUUAAUCCCAUCAUCUUUGUAAGCUGAAGAUGUAUGUCCCUCAGGACCCUGUGAUGAUUGCGCUAUCUGCACAAAUUGUUUGUAAAGCAUAUGUUUUUGAACAGUAUGAAAUCUGGGCAUCUAGAAAAGGAACAGGAUAACAACGAUUUUCAGGGAACAAGGGAAAUAACCAUUAGGUCUGACUGCCGGGGAGCCGGGCAGGACCAAGUCAUAUUUCUCUUAUUGUCAAAAACGGGUAAGAGAAAUAUUGCUGAAUUCUUUCCCCAGUAAGGAAUAUUAAUAAUUAACAACCCUGGGAAAAGAAUGCAUUCCUGGGGGGAGGCCUCUAAAAUGGCCGCUCUGGGAAUGUCUGCCUUAUGCAGUUGUAGAUAGGGAUGAAACAUGCCCUGGUCUCCUGCAGCGCCCCCAGGCUUGCUAGGAUUAGGAAAUCCAGACUGGUGAAUUUUAGACAGACUGGUUGCCUGCUCUCAAACCCUAUCUUCUGAAAAGAUAUUAUCAAUGACAAUGUGUGCCCGGUGGUACAUGAGACUUCCUCAGCAAUUCUAAUUUUGCCCUGAUCAUGUGAUCUCACUCUGCCCCCAUCUGCCUUGUGAUAUUUUAUUGCCCUUGAAGCAUGUGAUCUCUGUGACCCACACCCUAUUCGUACACCCCUCCCCUUUUGAAAUCCAUAAUAAAAUCUUGCUACUUUUGUGGCUGAAGGGGCAUCACAGAACCUGCCGACAUGUGAUGUCUCCCCCAGACACCUAGCUGUAAAAUUUC